Molecule: small RNA, 871 nt
Filed under: Pan troglodytes (chimpanzee)
Lineage: Eukaryota; Metazoa; Chordata; Mammalia; Primates; Hominidae
Description: processed transcript
Source: RNAcentral
GCGCGCCGGCCGCCACCAGCCGCGCCGGAGCCCCUGCGCCCUGCGGCCCGCUCCCCGGGGACCGGGCCGGCGCCAUGGACCGAGGCCAGGUGCUGGAGCAGCUGCUCCCAGAGCUCACCGGGCUGCUCAGCCUCCUGGACCACGAGUACCUCAGCGAUACCACCCUGGAAAAGAAGAUGGCCGUGGCCUCCAUCCUGCAGAGCCUGCAGCCCCUUCCAGCAAAGGAGGUCUCCUACCUGUAUGUGAACACAGCAGACCUCCACUCGGGGCCCAGCUUCGUGGAAUCCCUCUUUGAAGAAUUUGACUGUGACCUGAGUGACCUUCGGGACAUGCCAGAGGAUGAUGGGGAGCCCAGCAAAGGAGCCAGCCCUGAGCUAGCCAAGAGCCCACGCCUGAGAAACGCGGCCGACCUGCCUCCACCGCUCCCCAACAAGCCUCCCCCUGAGGACUACUAUGAAGAGGCCCUUCCUCUGGGACCCGGCAAGUCGCCUGAGUACAUCAGCUCCCACACCGAUGGACCUUGGGCUGAUUGCACCUUUUGGCUAUGGUGCUUGGAUCAGAUGGCUGCAGCCCCUCACACUCGAUUGUGGAUGGCUACUAUGAGGACGCAGACAGCAGCUACCCUGCAACCAGGGUGAACGGCGAGCUUAAGAGCUCCUAUAAUGACUCUGACGCAAUGAGCAGCUCCUAUGAGUCCUACGAUGAAGAGGAGGAGGAAGGGAAGAGCCCGCAGCCCCGACACCAGUGGCCCUCAGAGGAGGCCUCCAUGCACCUGGUGAGGGAAUGCAGGAUAUGUGCCUUCCUGCUGCGGAAAAAGCGUUUCGGGCAGUGGGCCAAGCAGCUGACGGUCAUCAGGGAGGACCAGCUCCUG